GACGAACCGUGCGAACGUUGUUCGGAAUCAUUGGGCUUAAAGGGCGCGUAGGCGGGCCGCCGAGUCCGGGGUGAAAUCCUCCAGCUCAACUGGAGAACGGCCCCGGAUACUGGAGGUCUCGAGGGGGGUAGGGGCACGCGGAACUGUGGGUGGAGCGGUGAAAUGCGUUGAUAUCCACAGGAACUCCGGUGGCGAAGGCGGCCCGCUGGGAUCGAGCUGACGCUGAGGCGCGACAGCGUGGGGAGCAAACAGG
This 253-nucleotide ribosomal RNA is filed under the name uncultured bacterium. RNAcentral describes it as "partial 16S ribosomal RNA". It matches the Rfam family "Bacterial small subunit ribosomal RNA", at positions 524 to 776 of the family's 1533-position model. The record is from RNAcentral.